RNAcentral lists this ribosomal RNA (211 nucleotides) under uncultured Caldisericum sp. Its description in RNAcentral is "partial 16S ribosomal RNA". It matches the Rfam family "Bacterial small subunit ribosomal RNA", at positions 1174 to 1382 of the family's 1533-position model. The record is from RNAcentral. Lineage: Bacteria; Pseudomonadati; Caldisericota; Caldisericia; Caldisericales; Caldisericaceae.
GUGGGAUGACGUCAAAUCCUCAUGGCCCUUUAUGUCCCAGGGCUACACACAUGCGACAAUGGUCGAGACAACGCGUUGCAAACCAGUAAUGGUAAGCUAAUCGCAUAAAAUCGACCUCAGUACGGAUUGAGGUUGCAAUUCACCCUCAUGAAGCUGGAGUUGCUAGUAACCGCAGGUCAGCUAUACUGCGAUGAAUACGUUCCCGGGGCUU